GCCCGCACAAGCGGCGGAGCAUUGCGGUAUUAAUUCGAUGCAACUGCGAAGAACCUUACCAAGGCUUGACAUACACCGGAUAACGGCCAGAGUAUGGUCGCCCCCUUGUGGCUCGUGUGUACAGGUGGUGUCAUGGUUGUCGUCAGCUCGUGUCGUGAGAUGUUGGGUUAAGUCCCGCAACGUAGCGCAACCCUCGUUCUAUGUUGCCAUCGGGUCAUGUCCGGGGACUCAUAGGAGUACUUUCUCGGGUUCAACUCGGAGGAAGGUGGGGAUGACGUCAAAUCAUCAUGCCCCUUAUGUCUUGGGCUUCACGCAUGCUACAAUGGCCGGUACAAAGGGCUGCGAUACCGUAAGGUGGAG
RNAcentral lists this ribosomal RNA (360 nucleotides) under Curtobacterium sp. Its description in RNAcentral is "bacterial SSU rRNA". It matches the Rfam family "Bacterial small subunit ribosomal RNA", at positions 919 to 1267 of the family's 1533-position model. The record is from RNAcentral. Lineage: Bacteria; Bacillati; Actinomycetota; Actinomycetes; Micrococcales; Microbacteriaceae.